Molecule: ribosomal RNA, 242 nt
Filed under: Triticum aestivum (bread wheat)
Lineage: Eukaryota; Viridiplantae; Streptophyta; Magnoliopsida; Poales; Poaceae
Description: partial small subunit ribosomal RNA
Source: RNAcentral
CAGAGAUUAGGGUAAACGAGGGGAUCGAAAGCAGAGAGUCACAGUCACAGCCGGGUCGUCUCACGAAAGCGGCAACCACAAGAAAGGCUAGAGUUACGUAAAGUGGCGAGGUGGCCUUUAAGGGAGACGGGGAUGGCAUGAGGUCGAACCAUCAAAGGUGGCGGACAGGUCCCAACUCGGGACCCUAAACUGCCGCCUGAACUUUUCGGUGGAUGUCUGCGAAAUGCGGGUUAGUAAGGCCU